This 1470-nucleotide ribosomal RNA is filed under the name Segatella copri. RNAcentral describes it as "partial 23S ribosomal RNA". It matches the Rfam family "Bacterial large subunit ribosomal RNA", at positions 689 to 2157 of the family's 2925-position model. The record is from RNAcentral. Lineage: Bacteria; Pseudomonadati; Bacteroidota; Bacteroidia; Bacteroidales; Prevotellaceae.
AGGGCGCACAGUCAGUGGGGGUAGACGCGAAACCAAGUGAUCUACACUUGGCCAGGAUGAAGUCCCGGUAACACGGGAUGGAGGUCCGCACCAAUAAGCGUUGAAAAGCUUCUGGAUGAGCCGAGUGUAGGAGUGAAAGGCCAAUCAAACUUGGAGAUAGCUCGUACUCCCCGAAAGGCAUUUAGGUGCCGCGUCGGAUGGUCACCGUGAGAGGUAGAGCGACCGAUAGGACAAGAGGGCUUCACCGCCUAUCGAGUCCUGACGAACUCCGAAUGCUCACGGUCUGCAGUCCGGCAGUAAGGGGGCGGGUGCUAAGGUCCGUCCCCGAGAGGAGAAGAAUCCAGACCGCCGUCUAAGGUCCCGGAGUUCUGCCUGAGUUAGUCUAACGAAGUCUGGUCCCUAUGACAGCUAGGAUGUUGGCUUGGAAGCAGCCAUUCAUUCAAAGAGUGCGUAACAGCUCACUAGUCGAGGGUCCGGGCAUGGAUAAUAAUCGGGUAUAAGGCAGACACCGAAGGCGCGGGAUAGCAAUUAAAAAAGUAUCGGUAGGGGAGCAUACUCACAGCGUCGAAUGGUGUACGUAAGUUAUCCUGGAGCGGUGAGUAAAGCAAAUGUAGGAAUAAGUAACGAUAAGGAGGGUUAGAUUCCCUCCCGCUGUAAGACCAAGGUUUCCCGGGCAAUGCCAAUCAGCCCGGGGUCAGUCGGGUCCUAAGUCUAAGCCGAACGGCGAUGGCGAUGGCAGAGACGGUUAAUAUUCCGUCACUGCCGCAUGGGGCGACGUGGAGACGGAGCAGUGAAACCACCGCGGGGCGACGGAAGUCCCCGUUGAAGAGUGUAGGCGUUGAGGAUGGCAGGCAAAUCCACCAUCCGAGCUGAACUUGACAGUACGGAGUCCUCCUCGGAGGAAUCUGAUAGUGUGGGUAAUCAUACUCCCGAGAAAAUCCGCUAAGCUUAACCCAUGCGGCACCCGUACCGCAAACGGACACACGUGGUCGGGUAGAACAUACUAAGGCGUUGAGAGAUUCAUGGUUAAGGAACUAGGCAAAUUGACCCUGUAACUUCGGGAUAAAGGGUCCUCGUGAUGAGCGAGGCGCAGAGAAUAGGUCCAGGCAACUGUUUAACAAAAACACAGGGCUGUGCAAACUCGAAAGAUGACGUAUACAGCCUGACACCUGCCCGGUGCCGGAAGGUUAAGAGGAGAUGUCACCAGCAAUGGGAAGCAUUGAAUUGAAGCCCCGGUAAACGGCGGCCGUAACUAUAACGGUCCUAAGGUAGCGAAAUUCCUUGUCGGGUAAGUUCCGACCUGCACGAAUGGUGUAAUGAUCCGGACGCUGUCUCAACCAUGAGCUCAGUGAAAUUGUAGUAUCGGUGAAGAUGCCGAUUACCCGCGAUGGGACGAAAAGACCCCGUGAACCUUUACUACAGCUUAGCAUUGACCUUGGUCAUCCGAUGUGUAGGAUAGGCCGGAGGCUU